GAUGAACGCUGGCGGCGUGCCUAAUACAUGCAAGUCGAACGCUUCACUUCGGUGAAGAGUGGCGAACGGGUGAGUAAUACAUAAGUAACCUGGCAUCUACAGGGGGAUAACUGAUGGAAACGUCAGCUAAGACCGCAUAGGUGUAGAGAUCGCAUGAACUCUAUAUGAAAAGUGCUACGGGACUGGUAGAUGAUGGACUUAUGGCGCAUUAGCUUGUUGGUAGGGUAACGGCCUACCAAGGCGACGAUGCGUAGCCGACCUGAGAGGGUGACCGGCCACACUGGGACUGAGACGCGGCCCAGACUCCUACGGGAGGCAGCAGUAGGGAAUUUUCGGCAAUGGGGGAAACCCUGACCGAGCAACGCCGCGUGAAGGAAGAAGUAAUUCGUUAUGUAAACUUCUGUCAUAGAGGAAGAACGGUGGAUAUAGGGAAUGAUAUCCAAGUGACGGUACUCUAUAAGAAAGCCACGGCUAACUACGU
This 481-nucleotide ribosomal RNA is filed under the name uncultured bacterium. Its description in RNAcentral is "partial 16S ribosomal RNA". It matches the Rfam family "Bacterial small subunit ribosomal RNA", at positions 28 to 506 of the family's 1533-position model. The record is from RNAcentral.